Pezoporus flaviventris is the source of this 1508-nucleotide long non-coding RNA. RefSeq lists it as uncharacterized. The transcript is spliced from 3 exons. The record is from RefSeq and is a predicted model, not a curated record. Lineage: Eukaryota; Metazoa; Chordata; Aves; Psittaciformes; Psittacidae.
UAGGAAAACCAAAUAAUUUCUUGUCAGGAGGAAAUCUGUGUUGCUGUUGUUUAGUCCCCGUUUCUCAGUGAUGCUUGCAGACAAGGAUACAGCCCACGGGAGUGGAUGCGCACUCUGCAGUGACGGGAGCAUGCAGGACCGGAGAGGAAGGGCUGCAUCAAGCCUGGAAGGAGUGGUGAGCCAUGUACAACUUUUAGCAAAGCAGGAAUUGGGAAGCCAGAAAGCAGAAUUCAGUAAAGAUUACUUCACAGAGUAGUGGCAUCUGAUCUGAGGUCACAACACAUUUACCUUUUUCACUUCAGUUUUCUUCUAAAAACAUCUUGUACUUGUCUUUUCUUCACAUCUGUGUAAUGACGUACGGCUACAGGGCUAAACUUAUUCACAUUUUGCUAUCUUAUUGUCUUUGGCAAAUAUGUCUGAAGGGGCUGCAGGGCUGAAAAGGGCUCAGUGAAAGCCAUUGUGACAAAGUAACAUAAAUGAGACGAAUCUUGCACACGUGAAUGUGCUUGGAAGAUGCAUUGAUUUGGCAAGCUGUAACGCGACUUCGGCUGCCUGAGCUGACUCGGGAAGCUUUCCAUGUCCUUUUGCCUCCUGUAUUUUCCCUUUGAGUUGCCCAAGUUUAUUCUCACUUUUGGUUUCAGGCUGAUUCACAAACACCCAGGAGAUGCUCCAGCUAAUUCUUGAGCUUCCAGACAGUGAGAGAGAAAUUGUGCUUAUAGUGUAAAUGGAGAUUGCUCUCUGCAAAAGGCUCUCCCGCUUGCGUUGCUGUGCUUCAGAUCUAAGGCACAGAGGGUUGCUGUUAAAGGAUGUCUAACAAUGAAGAAACCUUGCUUUUGAGCUGUAGCUGUCCACGGAUGCAGGCAUCACCCCUGCAGAUGUUGAAGGAAUAAAAGAGCCAGUAUGUGCGCCUGUGACAGACCAUCACCAAGGGCACACACUCUUCCAGUUUUCUCAUUGAAGAGUGCCAAGGGUCAGGAUUUUCAUCUUGCCACAUUGUUUGACAGCUGGUACCACUGGAAGCAGAGUGCCCUUGUGUCAGAGACAGGAGAAAGAUGAGCCUCCGCACACCUUCAGCUGUCCAUACCCCAGGGGCACCAACUGACAUUGUCUAGGAUGCUGAGCUACAGGCAUUCUGGGUCCCAAGGCAAGUAACAUCCUGUGGAGCUGCACGGUAUGUUAGUUAUCCAAAUGGUUGGAUCAUUAUUCAUAAGAAGGCAAAGGCUGUAUCGUCAUCUGACUGUGCAGAAUAGCACCCAUUCCUCAGCAAUGUAGAAAAAGUUGGAUUUAAGUCCUUAUCUGGAUUGCACAGGUGAGAUACAAGCGCCAUGUGUAGAUGUGCCUGGACUAGUUUUCAUCUGUGAAGGAGCUGCAAUAGGAAACUCAGGACCUGAUGUUUGCUCUGCACUAGAGGCUUAAGUGGUCAUGGCUUGCCCAGUAUGGGUCACUGGACAGGCACUGUUUCAGGAGUGCUUGCAGACACAGCAUGAACACCACACAAAUCAGUGUGU